Molecule: ribosomal RNA, 114 nt
Filed under: uncultured bacterium
Lineage: Bacteria
Description: partial 16S ribosomal RNA
Rfam family: Bacterial small subunit ribosomal RNA
Source: RNAcentral
CGGUGAAUACGUUCCCGGACCUUGCACACACCGCCCGUCAAGCCAUGGAAGCUGGGUGUACCUAAAGUCGGUAACUGUAAGGAGCCGCCUAGGGUAAAACUAGUAACUGGGGCU